ACUUAAUGGCAAUGGGUGUGGGUUUUUUGUUUGUUUAUGGCACGUGACAGUGCUGACAAACUUCCCAGUGAUGCACAGAAUCUGCAUUUUGGAAGAACUCAGUGGGAACAACUUGUAUGUGCUACAUAUAGGGUCAGAUGGUUUGGUUCAACUGGUGCUAAAGAAUCCACUUCUAAGGUCGUUCAUUUACUUGGCUGGAACUCCAACAAUUUUUGGAUACUAAGUUACCUUUUCACUCUGGGGAUGAUCUUGUAAGAGAGAAGCUAUCAAAGAAAGGAGACCAGGAAAUAGAAAGGUAAAGAGAUGGUGUCUCAGGAAGGAUGCUAGUGGGGAUUUUGUUCUACUCAAACAGCAUGCUGUGCGUUCCUUAUUUAUACAGUUUAUAGACAAAAAAAAAUUAAAAAGAUUUUGAAAGAAGUAAAUCUCUUGAUUCUAGUCCCAUUUAGAAAUUUUGUUAGACCUUUGUC
This is a long non-coding RNA of Trichechus manatus latirostris (Florida manatee), 467 nucleotides long. RefSeq lists it as uncharacterized. Lineage: Eukaryota; Metazoa; Chordata; Mammalia; Sirenia; Trichechidae. The transcript has 3 exons. The record is from RefSeq and is a predicted model, not a curated record.